Molecule: ribosomal RNA, 492 nt
Filed under: uncultured bacterium
Lineage: Bacteria
Description: partial 16S ribosomal RNA
Rfam family: Bacterial small subunit ribosomal RNA
Source: RNAcentral
AGUGAACGCUGGCGGUAGGCCUAACACAUGCAAGUCGAACGGCAGCACAGUAAGAGCUUGCUCUUACGGGUGGCGAGUGGCGGACGGGUGAGGAAUACAUCGGAAUCUACUUUUUCGUGGGGGAUAACGUAGGGAAACUUACGCUAAUACCGCAUACGACCUACGGGUGAAAGCAGGGGAUCUUCGGACCUUGCGCGAUUGAAUGAGCCGAUGUCGGAUUAGCUAGUUGGCGGGGUAAAGGCCCACCAAGGCGACGAUCCGUAGCUGGUCUGAGAGGAUGAUCAGCCACACUGGAACUGAGACACGGUCCAGACUCCUACGAGAGGCAGCAGUGGGGAAUAUUGGGCAAUGGGCGCAAGCCUGAUCCAGCCAUACCGCGUGGGUGAAGAAGGCCUUCGGGUUGUAAAGCCCUUUUGUUGGGAAAGAAAAGCAGCAGGUUAAUACCCCGCUGUUCUGACGGUACCCAAAGAAUAAGCACCGGCUAACUUCGUG